This 484-nucleotide ribosomal RNA is filed under the name uncultured bacterium. RNAcentral's name for it is "partial 16S ribosomal RNA". It matches the Rfam family "Bacterial small subunit ribosomal RNA", at positions 30 to 507 of the family's 1533-position model. The record is from RNAcentral.
AUUGAACGCUGGCGGCAGGCCUAACACAUGCAAGUCGAGCGGAUGAAGGGAGCUUGCUCCUGGAUUCAGCGGCGGACGGGUGAGUAAUGCCUAGGAAUCUGCCUGGUAUUGGGGGAUAACGUCCGUAAACGGGCGCUAAUACCGCAUACGUCCUGAUGUUGAAAGUGGGGGUUCUUCGGACCUCACGCUAUCUGAUGAGCCUAGGUCGGAUUAGCUAGUUGGUGUGGUAAAGGCCUACCAAGGCGACGAUCCGUAACUGGUCUGAGAGGAUGAUCAGUCACACUGGAACUGAGACACGGUCCAGACUCCUACGGGAGGCAGCAGUGGGGAAUAUUGGACAAUGGGCGAAAGCCUGAUCCAGCCAUGCCGCGUGUGUGAAGAAGGUCUUCGGAUUGUAAAGCACUUUAAGUUGGGAGGAAGGGAAGUAAGUUAAUACCUUGAUGUUUUGACGUUACCAAAAGAAUAAGCACCGGCUAACUUCGUG